CAAAGAAUAGUUUAAAUUAAAAUUAUAAUUUUGGAGAUUAUAGAUAAAGAAAUUCUUUUUCUUUGA
Molecule: transfer RNA, 66 nt
Filed under: Ethope himachala
Lineage: Eukaryota; Metazoa; Arthropoda; Insecta; Lepidoptera; Nymphalidae
Description: tRNA-Pro
Source: RNAcentral